ACGGGGGGUGCAAGCGUUGUUCGGAAUUAUUGGGCGUAAAGAGCACGCAGGCGGCCGGAUAAGUCAGAUGUGAAAUCCCCGGGCUUAACCCGGGAAGUGCAUUUGAAACUGUCUGGCUAGAGUAGGGUAGAGGGGGGUAGAAUUCCAGGUGUAGAGGUGAAAUGCGUAGAUAUCAGGAGGAACACCGGUGGCGAAGGCGGCUCCCUGGCCAAAGACUGACGCUCAGGUGCGAGAGCGUGGGGAGCAAACAG
This 251-nucleotide ribosomal RNA is filed under the name uncultured prokaryote. Its description in RNAcentral is "partial 16S rRNA". It matches the Rfam family "Bacterial small subunit ribosomal RNA", at positions 525 to 775 of the family's 1533-position model. The record is from RNAcentral.